Zea mays is the source of this 119-nucleotide long non-coding RNA. RefSeq lists it as uncharacterized. Lineage: Eukaryota; Viridiplantae; Streptophyta; Magnoliopsida; Poales; Poaceae. The record is from RefSeq and is a predicted model, not a curated record. The transcript is spliced from 2 exons.
UCAACCAACAAAGAGUAGGGAUAAAGUCAAUCAUAGCAUUGGAUCAUCUAAAAAUUAUAUUUAUAUGGAUGGUCAAAUGUGAGAUUGAACAUGAGAGAGACUGCAAAUUUGUCUAAUGC